UUUUUUUUUUUCGGCGGAGAUCCUCGUUGGGGCUGGGAAACUCCUGCAAAACUCGAGACCAGGAAGCCAGCCCGCACCCCAACCCCCACCAAAGCCACCUACUCUUCUGCGGGAGGCCAGUCCACAUCCGUUCUCACCCGAGAGAGAUUUUCAGCUGGAUCCAAAGUGACUGAUGAAGGGAAGGAAAUCAUGUCAAGCGAAGCCUUGAAAAAGCUGCCCUGAGACGCUGUCCCGCCGAAAGUCCUUCAGCUCACAGCGGGAUGCUAAUCCAUGAAGGUGACCUCGCGGUACUGGUUAAUUAAACUUUAUUGCUCAGUGAAAAAAAAAAA
This 329-nucleotide small RNA is filed under the name Pongo abelii (Sumatran orangutan). Its description in RNAcentral is "processed transcript". Lineage: Eukaryota; Metazoa; Chordata; Mammalia; Primates; Hominidae. The record is from RNAcentral.